UACGUAGGGUGCAAGCGUUGUCCGGAAUUAUUGGGCGUAAAGAGCUCGUAGGCGGUCUGUCGCGUCGGCUGUGAAAACCCGGGGCUCAACCCCGGGCCUGCAGUCGAUACGGGCAGACUAGAGUGCGGUAGGGGAGACUGGAAUUCCUGGUGUAGCGGUGAAAUGCGCAGAUAUCAGGAGGAACACCGGCGGCGAAGGCGGGUCUCUGGGCCGGUACUGACGCUGAGGUGCGAAAGCGUGGGGAGCAAACAGG
Molecule: ribosomal RNA, 253 nt
Filed under: uncultured bacterium
Lineage: Bacteria
Description: partial 16S ribosomal RNA
Rfam family: Bacterial small subunit ribosomal RNA
Source: RNAcentral